AUUGAACGCUGGCGGCAUGCCUUACACAUGCAAGUCGAACGGCAGCACGGGUGCUUGCACCUGGUGGCGAGUGGCGAACGGGUGAGUUAUACAUCGGGACAUGUCCUCUUGUGUGGGGUAGCCCGGCGAAAGAGGGAUUAUUACACCAUACGGUCUACGUGUGCCGCAGGGGGUCCUCGGGGCAGCGCCCUUUUGGGUGGGCUGUUGGCUGAUUAUCUGCUUGGGGGGGUAAAGGCUUACCAAGGCGACGAUCAGUAGCUGGUCUGAGAGGGGGACCAGCCACACGGGAACGGAGACACGGCCCAGACUCCGACGGGGGGCAGCGGUGGGGAAUGUUGGACAAUGGGCGAAAGCCUGAUCCAGCAAUGCCGCGUGUGUGAAGAAGGCCUUCGGGUUGGAAAGCGCUUUUGUCCGGAAAGAAAUCAUGGGCCCUAAUACGUGCGGGGGAUGACGGUACCGGAAGAAUAAGCACCGGCUAACUACGUG
Molecule: ribosomal RNA, 486 nt
Filed under: uncultured bacterium
Lineage: Bacteria
Description: partial 16S ribosomal RNA
Rfam family: Bacterial small subunit ribosomal RNA
Source: RNAcentral